AGUGAACGCUGGCGGUAGGCCUAACACAUGCAAGUCGAACGGCAGCACAGUAAGAGCUUGCUCUUACGGGUGGCGAGUGGCGGACGGGUGAGGAAUAUAUCGGAAUCUACUUUUUCGUGGGGGAUAACGUAGGGAAACUUACGCUAAUACCGCAUACGACCUACGGGUGAAAGCAGGGGAUCUUCGGACCUUGCGCGAUUGAAUGAGCCGAUGUCGGAUUAGCUAGUUGGCGGGGUAAAGGCCCACCAAGGCGACGAUCCGUAGCUGGUCUGAGAGGAUGAUCAGCCACACUGGAACUGAGACACGGUCCAGACUCCUACGGGAGGCAGCAGUGGGGAAUAUUGGACAAAGGGCGCAAGCCUGAUCCAGCCAUACCGCGUGGGUGAAGAAGGCCUUCGGGUUGUAAAGCCCUUUUGUCGGGAAAGAAAAGCAGCAGGUUAAUACCCCGCUGUUCUGACGGUACCCAAAGAAUAAGCACCGGCUAACUUCGUG
This 492-nucleotide ribosomal RNA is filed under the name uncultured bacterium. RNAcentral's name for it is "partial 16S ribosomal RNA". It matches the Rfam family "Bacterial small subunit ribosomal RNA", at positions 29 to 507 of the family's 1533-position model. The record is from RNAcentral.